RNAcentral lists this ribosomal RNA (467 nucleotides) under uncultured bacterium. Its description in RNAcentral is "partial 16S ribosomal RNA". It matches the Rfam family "Bacterial small subunit ribosomal RNA", at positions 28 to 507 of the family's 1533-position model. The record is from RNAcentral.
GAUGAACGCUGGCGGCGCGCCUUACACAUGCAAGUCGAACGGUUAAAGCACCUUCGGGUGUGUAUAAUGUGGCGAACGUCUGUGUUACACGUGGGCAACCUCCCCCUUUCAUUGGGAUAGCCCCGGGAAACCGUUGAUAAUACCUAAUACUUCGAGACUUCCGCGUGGGAGACUCGAGCAAGCUCCGGCGGAGUGGGUUUGGCCCGCGGCCUGUUAGCUUGUUGGUGGGGUAACGGCCUACCAAGGCAAGGAUGGGUAGCUGGGUUGAGAGACCGAACAGCCAGAAUGGGACUGAGACACGGACCAGACUCCUACGGGAGGCAGCAGUGGGGAAUCUUGCACAAUGAGCGAAAGUCUGAUGCAGCGACGCCGCGUGUGGGAUGAAGGCCUUCGGGUUGUAAACCGCUUUCAGCAGAGACGAGGCGAAAGUGACGGUACCUGAAGAAGAAGCCCCGGCUAACUACGUG